Molecule: ribosomal RNA, 422 nt
Filed under: uncultured bacterium
Lineage: Bacteria
Description: bacterial SSU rRNA
Rfam family: Bacterial small subunit ribosomal RNA
Source: RNAcentral
UGAGGAAUAUUGGUCAAUGGGGGCAACCCUGAACCAGCCAAGUCGCGUGAAGGAUGAAGGUCUUAUGGAUUGUAAACUUCUUUUAUACAGGAAUAAAUUGGGGGACGUGUCCCCUUUUGCAUGUACUGUAUGAAUAAGGAUCGGCUAACUCCGUGCCAGCAGCCGCGGUAAUACGGAGGAUCCGAGCGUUAUCCGGAUUUAUUGGGUUUAAAGGGUGCGCAGGCGGGAUGUUAAGUCGGCGGUGAAAUUUUGCAGCUCAACUGUAAAAGUGCCUUCGAUACUGGCGUCCUUGAGUGUAGAUGAAGUAGGCUGAAUUUGUGGUGUAGCGGUGAAAUGCUUAGAUAUCACGAGGAACUCCGAUUGCGCAGGCAGCUUACUAAACUACAACUGACGCUCAUGCACGAAGGCGUGGGGAUCAAACA